RNAcentral lists this ribosomal RNA (784 nucleotides) under Lacticaseibacillus zeae. RNAcentral describes it as "bacterial SSU rRNA". It matches the Rfam family "Bacterial small subunit ribosomal RNA", at positions 28 to 776 of the family's 1533-position model. The record is from RNAcentral. Lineage: Bacteria; Bacillati; Bacillota; Bacilli; Lactobacillales; Lactobacillaceae.
GAUGAACGCUGGCGGCGUGCCUAAUACAUGCAAGUCGAACGAGUUCUGAUUAUUGAAAGGUGCUUGCAUCUUGAUUUAAUUUUGAACGAGUGGCGGACGGGUGAGUAACACGUGGGUAACCUGCCCUUAAGUGGGGGAUAACAUUUGGAAACAGAUGCUAAUACCGCAUAAAUCCAAGAACCGCAUGGUUCUUGGCUGAAAGAUGGCGUAAGCUAUCGCUUUUGGAUGGACCCGCGGCGUAUUAGCUAGUUGGUGAGGUAACGGCUCACCAAGGCAAUGAUACGUAGCCGAACUGAGAGGUUGAUCGGCCACAUUGGGACUGAGACACGGCCCAAACUCCUACGGGAGGCAGCAGUAGGGAAUCUUCCACAAUGGACGCAAGUCUGAUGGAGCAACGCCGCGUGAGUGAAGAAGGCUUUCGGGUCGUAAAACUCUGUUGUUGGAGAAGAAUGGUCGGCAGAGUAACUGUUGUCGGCGUGACGGUAUCCAACCAGAAAGCCACGGCUAACUACGUGCCAGCAGCCGCGGUAAUACGUAGGCGGCAAGCGUUAUCCGGAUUUAUUGGGCGUAAAGCGAGCGCAGGCGGUUUUUUAAGUCUGAUGUGAAAGCCCUCGGCUUAACCGAGGAAGUGCAUCGGAAACUGGGAAACUUGAGUGCAGAAGAGGACAGUGGAACUCCAUGUGUAGCGGUGAAAUGCGUAGAUAUAUGGAAGAACACCAGUGGCGAAGGCGGCUGUCUGGUCUGUAACUGACGCUGAGGCUCGAAAGCAUGGGUAGCGAACAGG